Molecule: ribosomal RNA, 789 nt
Filed under: uncultured Bacillota bacterium
Lineage: Bacteria; Bacillati; Bacillota
Description: bacterial SSU rRNA
Rfam family: Bacterial small subunit ribosomal RNA
Source: RNAcentral
UGGGCGUAAAGCGAGCGCAGGCGGAAAAAUAAGUCUAAUGUGAAAGCCCUCGGCUUAACCGAGGAACUGCAUCGGAAACUGUUUUUCUUGAGUGCAGAAGAGGAGAGUGGAACUCCAUGUGUAGCGGUGGAAUGCGUAGAUAUAUGGAAGAACACCAGUGGCGAAGGCGGCUCUCUGGUCUGCAACUGACGCUGAGGCUCGAAAGCAUGGGUAGCGAACAGGAUUAGAUACCCUGGUAGUCCAUGCCGUAAACGAUGAGUGCUAAGUGUUGGGAGGUUUCCGCCUCUCAGUGCUGCAGCUAACGCAUUAAGCACUCCGCCUGGGGAGUACGACCGCAAGGUUGAAACUCAAAGGAAUUGACGGGGGCCCGCACAAGCGGUGGAGCAUGUGGUUUAAUUCGAAGCAACGCGAAGAACCUUACCAGGUCUUGACAUCUAGUGCAAUCUGUAGAGAUACGGAGUUCCCUUCGGGGACGCUAAGACAGGUGGUGCAUGGCUGUCGUCAGCUCGUGUCGUGAGAUGUUGGGUUAAGUCCCGCAACGAGCGCAACCCUUGUUAUUAGUUGCCAGCAUUAAGUUGGGCACUCUAAUGAGACUGCCGGUGACAAACCGGAGGAAGGUGGGGAUGACGUCAAGUCAUCAUGCCCCUUAUGACCUGGGCUACACACGUGCUACAAUGGGCAGUACAACGAGAAGCAAGCCUGCGAAGGCAAGCGAAUCUCUGAAAGCUGUUCUCAGUUCGGACUGCAGUCUGCAACUCGACUGCACGAAGCUGGAAUCGCUAGUAAUCG